GCCCCCGUAGCUCAGCGGACUUCAGCAGCGGCCUUCUAAGCCGACGGGCGCAGGUUCGACUCCUGCUGGGGGCA
This 74-nucleotide transfer RNA is filed under the name Kibdelosporangium aridum. Its description in RNAcentral is "tRNA-Arg". It matches the Rfam family "tRNA". From Rfam's summary of the family: Transfer RNA (tRNA) molecules are approximately 80 nucleotides in length. Their secondary structure includes four short double-helical elements and three loops (D, anti-codon, and T loops). Further hydrogen bonds mediate the characteristic L-shaped molecular structure. tRNAs have two regions of fundamental functional importance: the anti-codon, which is responsible for specific mRNA codon recognition, and the 3' end, to which the tRNAs corresponding amino acid is attached (by aminoacyl-tRNA synthetases). tRNAs cope with the degeneracy of the genetic code in two manners: having more than one tRNA (with a specific anti-codon) for a particular amino acid; and 'wobble' base-pairing, i.e. permitting non-standard base-pairing at the 3rd anti-codon position. Lineage: Bacteria; Bacillati; Actinomycetota; Actinomycetes; Pseudonocardiales; Pseudonocardiaceae. The record is from RNAcentral.